AGAGUUUGAUCAUGGCUCAGGAUGAACGCUAGCUACAGGCUUAACACAUGCAAGUCGAGGGGCAGCAUGAACUUAGCUUGCUAAGUUUGAUGGCGACCGGCGCACGGGUGAGUAACACGUAUCCAACCUGCCGAUGACUCGGGGAUAGCCUUUCGAAAGAAAGAUUAAUACCCGAUGGCAUAAUUCUUCCGCAUGGUAGAAUUAUUAAAGAAUUUCGGUCAUCGAUGGGGAUGCGUUCCAUUAGGUUGUUGGCGGGGUAACGCCACAAGCCUUCGAUGGAUAGGGGUUCUGAGAGGAAGGUCCCCCANAUUGGAACUGAGACACGGUCCAAACUCCGUACGGGAGCA
This 347-nucleotide ribosomal RNA is filed under the name uncultured bacterium. Its description in RNAcentral is "bacterial SSU rRNA". It matches the Rfam family "Bacterial small subunit ribosomal RNA", at positions 8 to 349 of the family's 1533-position model. The record is from RNAcentral.